CCCCUAGAUGUUCUGGGCCGCACGCGCGCUACACUGAACAGUUCAACAAGUCUUAACCUUGGCCGAUAGGUCUGGGUAAUCUUUGAAACCGUAUCGUGAUGGGGAUAGAACAUUGCAAUUAUUGUUCUUCAACGAGGAAUGCCUAGUAAGCGCGAGUCAUCAACUCGCGUUGAUUACGUCCCUGCCCUUUGUACACACCGCCCGUCGCUCCUACCGAUUGAACGUGCUGGUGAAGCGUUAGGACUGGCGCCACGUGUCGGGUCCCCCUUCAACGGGGCGCCGGGAAUUUCGUUGAACCCUCCCGUUUAGAGGAAGGAGAAGUCGUAACA
Molecule: ribosomal RNA, 329 nt
Filed under: uncultured eukaryote
Lineage: Eukaryota
Description: partial 18S ribosomal RNA
Rfam family: Eukaryotic small subunit ribosomal RNA
Source: RNAcentral